This 158-nucleotide ribosomal RNA is filed under the name Cercospora lactucae-sativae. RNAcentral describes it as "5.8S ribosomal RNA". It matches the Rfam family "5.8S ribosomal RNA". Rfam says of the family: 5.8S ribosomal RNA (5.8S rRNA) is a component of the large subunit of the eukaryotic ribosome. It is transcribed by RNA polymerase I as part of the 45S precursor that also contains 18S and 28S rRNA. Lineage: Eukaryota; Fungi; Ascomycota; Dothideomycetes; Mycosphaerellales; Mycosphaerellaceae. The record is from RNAcentral.
AAACUUUCAACAACGGAUCUCUUGGUUCUGGCAUCGAUGAAGAACGCAGCGAAAUGCGAUAAGUAAUGUGAAUUGCAGGAUUCAGUGAAUCAUAGAAUCUUUGAACGCACAUUGCGCCCCUUGGUAUUCCGAGGGGCAUGCCUGUUCGAGCGUCAUUU